Transfer RNA from Gossypium arboreum, 73 nucleotides. It matches the Rfam family "tRNA". Rfam says of the family: Transfer RNA (tRNA) molecules are approximately 80 nucleotides in length. NCBI's taxonomy places the organism in Eukaryota, Viridiplantae, Streptophyta, Magnoliopsida, Malvales, Malvaceae. The record is from Rfam.
UCCGUUGUAGUCUAGGUGGUUAGGAUACUAAGCUCUCACUUGAGAGACCCGGAUUCAAGUCCCGGCAUCGGAA